RNAcentral lists this ribosomal RNA (942 nucleotides) under Enterococcus faecium. RNAcentral describes it as "partial 23S ribosomal RNA". It matches the Rfam family "Bacterial large subunit ribosomal RNA", at positions 154 to 1097 of the family's 2925-position model. Lineage: Bacteria; Bacillati; Bacillota; Bacilli; Lactobacillales; Enterococcaceae. RNAcentral also lists the same sequence under 10 other names. The record is from RNAcentral.
UUGUGUGAAUACAUAGCACAUUCGAGGUAGACGCAGAGAACUGAAACAUCUAAGUACCUGCAGGAAGAGAAAGAAAAUUCGAUUCCCUGAGUAGCGGCGAGCGAAACGGGAAAAGCCCAAACCAGCAAGCUUGCUUGUUGGGGUUGUAGGACUCCAAUAUGGUAGUUCUUUCAGAUAGUCGAAUGACUUGGAAAAGUCAGUCAAAGAGGGUAAAAACCCCGUAGACGAAAUGUGGAAGACACCUAGGAGGAUCCUGAGUACGGCGGAACACGAGAAAUUCCGUCGGAAUCCGGGAGGACCAUCUCCCAAGGCUAAAUACUCCCUAGUGACCGAUAGUGAACCAGUACCGUGAGGGAAAGGUGAAAAGCACCCCGGAAGGGGAGUGAAAUAGAACCUGAAACCGUGUGCCUACAACAAGUCAAAGCCCGUUAAUGGGUGAUGGCGUGCCUUUUGUAGAAUGAACCGGCGAGUUACGAUUGCAUGCGAGGUUAAGUUGAAGAGACGGAGCCGCAGCGAAAGCGAGUCUGAAUAGGGCGUUUGAGUAUGUAGUCGUAGACCCGAAACCAUGUGAUCUACCCAUGUCCAGGUUGAAGGUGCGGUAAAACGCACUGGAGGACCGAACCCACGUACGUUGAAAAGUGCGGGGAUGAGGUGUGGGUAGCGGAGAAAUUCCAAACGAACUUGGAGAUAGCUGGUUCUCUCCGAAAUAGCUUUAGGGCUAGCCUCGGAAUUGAGAAUGAUGGAGGUAGAGCACUGUUUGGACUAGGGGCCCAUCUCGGGUUACCGAAUUCAGAUAAACUCCGAAUGCCAUUCAUUCAUAUCCGGGAGUCAGACUGUGAGUGAUAAGAUCCAUAGUCGAAAGGGAAACAGCCCAGACCACCAGCUAAGGUCCCAAAAUAUAUGUUAAGUGGAAAAGGAUGUGGGGUUGCACAGACAACUAGG